AACUAGUCUGACAUAAAUAGAGGAAAGUCCAAAACAUAGCUAGCAUUUCUGCGUUUUAUUUUAUUUUAAAGGAAAGCUUAUUGUGUGACAGACUGCAAAUUUCCCAAGACUUUCCUCCUGAGAGGAAAGAUUGCAAUUUUCAAGACCGUGCCCCAAACAGGAUUUUAUUUUAUAUUUUUAUUUUUAUUUUAUAAUUUUGUUGUUGCAAACCAUACCCAGGAGGAAAUUUGAAGGAGGAGAUGAAAGCCAUCAGCCCCAUCCGAUCUGUGAGAAGCUGUCACGAAGCGGUGUGUUGUUUGGCUGAUCAGAGUUUGUCUAUCUCACGGGGCAAGAAUCCAGUGGAAGAUCCCCUUACCUUGCUGUACGACAUGAAUGAUUGCUACUGUAAACUGAUGGAGCUGGUUCCUAGCAUCCCCCAGAACAGAAAAGUCAGCAAGAUGGAAAUCCUCCAGCAUGUUAUCGAUUAUAUAUUCGACUUGCAGAUUGCAUUGGAAAGCCAGCAACAAGACCCAGAGAAUAGCAACGCAUCCGGCAGCUCCAUCCUAACGCUGCAGCGACCGGAACUGUCUAGUGAUGGAGAAAGUUUAUCCUUAUGUCACUGAUUAAAACGGUGUGCAUUCAACUCGCCGCUACAACAUCGCUCUGAGAGUGUCCUGCCAGCGAAUCAAGACCCCACCCCCACCCUUCCCGUUUCCACUCCCAAGCAGUGAAUUGAACACUUCAGCCAUUUCAAGGACAAACUCUUUUUUCAAAAGAAACGAGCCAGUGCAUAUCUGGGAAGCACUUUCCAUUUGGCACCCAGAGCACUGAAUUUUUAAACCAUGGUCGUUUUU
This is a long non-coding RNA of Amblyraja radiata (thorny skate), 833 nucleotides long. RefSeq lists it as uncharacterized. NCBI's taxonomy places the organism in Eukaryota, Metazoa, Chordata, Chondrichthyes, Rajiformes, Rajidae. The record is from RefSeq and is a predicted model, not a curated record. The transcript is spliced from 3 exons.